This 297-nucleotide long non-coding RNA is filed under the name Capsella rubella. RNAcentral describes it as "long non-coding RNA (CRUB_LNC003213)". Lineage: Eukaryota; Viridiplantae; Streptophyta; Magnoliopsida; Brassicales; Brassicaceae. The record is from RNAcentral.
UUAUUUCAUUUUCACAACAUUAAUUAGUUGCAUUAGGUAGAAUUAAACAUUUGUCGUAUGUACUUUAUUAUUGUUAUUUAACUAAAUCCAUACUUUACCGAGCUUAAGUUAAGAAUAAGUGCUUUUAAAAAAAGUUAUUAUACUAAUAAAUUAUUCAUAAUUGUUUCCUACGACAAAUGAUCUUAAAGUUAUAUCUAAAAAAAAAAACAUUUUCCAAAUUCAUCUUCUUAUAUCGAUGAUUGAUUAUUAAACUUGGCUGCAAGUUUAACUACUAUUCAACAUAUAUACCAUCUCUUA